RNAcentral lists this non-coding RNA (69 nucleotides) under Histoplasma mississippiense. Lineage: Eukaryota; Fungi; Ascomycota; Eurotiomycetes; Onygenales; Ajellomycetaceae. The record is from RNAcentral.
CCUAGACAUGAUCUGCACCUCUACGUUGGUGUCUAGGACUAGUAGCCCAUAUGGUGAAGCCAAGCAGGU